Molecule: unclassified non-coding RNA, 259 nt
Filed under: Hevea brasiliensis (rubber tree)
Lineage: Eukaryota; Viridiplantae; Streptophyta; Magnoliopsida; Malpighiales; Euphorbiaceae
Source: RNAcentral
UGGUUCAACCACCGAGUUAUUCAUUUUUUUUUUCCGGAGUCAACUUUUAUCUGGUUUAAUGAAAGAACCGACCCGAUUUAUGUUCGGGUCACCAGUUCAUUGGGUCGACCUGUUUAGUCGAUCCAGAUUUAAUAACAUUGAUUUUAUGGCAAAAUAAAGUUAGAGAAAUUUGAUAUAUUUUUCACAUUAUAAAAGAAAUUAAGCUAAAAAAAUUAAUUUUAAUUAUUCAGAAUAAAGUAAAUAAGUAUAUAUGUUUAUA